CAAUAGCGUAUAUUAAAGUUGUUGCAGUUAAAAAGCUCGUAGUUGGAUUUCUGGUGGGAGCGACCGUGCCGAACUUGAUUGUUCGAGUAUUGUGUUGUCUUCAGCCAUCCUCGUGGAGAACUUUUCUAACAUUAACUUGUUGGGAUUGGGACCCGCGUCGUUUACUGUGAAAAAAUUAGAGUGUUUAAAGCAGGCAUUAGCUUGAAUACAUUAGCAUGGAAUAAUAAGAUAGGACUUUGGUACUAUUUUGUUGGUUUGCAUACCAAAUUAAUGAUCAACAGGAACAGUUUGAGGAUAUUCGUAUGAACAUGUCAGAGGUGAAAUUCUUGGAUUUUGAUCAGACGAACUACUGCGAAAGCAUUUAUCAAGGAUGUUUUCAUUAA
RNAcentral lists this ribosomal RNA (383 nucleotides) under uncultured eukaryote. RNAcentral describes it as "partial 18S ribosomal RNA". It matches the Rfam family "Eukaryotic small subunit ribosomal RNA", at positions 592 to 976 of the family's 1831-position model. The record is from RNAcentral.